This 2043-nucleotide ribosomal RNA is filed under the name Triticum aestivum (bread wheat). RNAcentral describes it as "partial small subunit ribosomal RNA". The record is from RNAcentral. Lineage: Eukaryota; Viridiplantae; Streptophyta; Magnoliopsida; Poales; Poaceae.
AUGGGUGAAACUGGAGCACCGAUGCAGUAUUUGCUGUAUCUUUGGAAUGAGUGGGAGCUCCAAACUGUUGUUGCUGCCAGCUUCAGUCUGCAGGUUAUCCUCUUCUUCUUUGCAGGCGUCCGCCGUUACAACACCUCGUCUGUUGUUAGGGUGAUCCUCUGGCUAGUGUAUCUGCUUGCCGAUGCCAUUGCGAUAUACGCCCUGGGGCACAUCACCUCGUCAUUGUCAAAGAAAUCGAACCAGCUGGUGGCGUUCUGGGCGCCAUUGCUCGUUCUGCACCUCGGCGGCCAGGACACCAUCACUGCGUACGCCCUGGAGGACAAUGAACUCUGGCUGCGCCACCUGCUAAACAUGUCUGUGCAGGUCGCCGGCACCGCGUAUGUGCUCUACAAGUACAUCAAAGAAGACGGGUCAACCUUUGCCCGUGCUGCUAUUUGGGUACUGGCCGCCGGAGUUUUCAAGUACGGCGAGAGGAUACGGGCACUGAAGCUUGCAACCAGGAAGCACUCAAAGAAAAAUUGGAAACCACGAAGAAUAUGGAGGAGGAGGACGACGGAUCCCCCUUUGGAAAGUGUUCCGUUUGAAAUUUAUGCAUUUAUUGUGAUGAGAGCACACGUGGUACGCCAUAAUUAUGUCAAGCCUAUAAUUAUGGGCUACCCUGCGGGAAACACUACCAACGAGAUCGGGGCAUCCCUGAUGGAUGACUUCUGGGAACAAGUAAGGGAUCAUGUUACAUAUGUACAAGGGUAUGCACCACGGCUACGGGAAGAGGAUGCAUCGCUAGAGGAGAAGAUGCAAACUAAGAACCUGUACAAGACAAUCGAGGUGGAGCUCGGCCUGGUGUACGAGACUCUGUACACCAAGGCACCGGUGAUCCACACAUGGUAUGGCCACUGCAUCCGCACCUUCUCAUUAGUAUCUUGCUUCGCCGCUCUCGUGAUCUUCACAGUGAGCAAAAAAGAUAGCUACAGCACACCUAAUGUUGUUAUCACUUUUGCUCUUCUGGGCGGAGCUUGCGCACUAGAGGUUGCAUCUGUUUUCAAGGCGAGUGGGUCGACCUGGACAUAUGCCAUCCUGAGAGACGAGGGGUAUAACCGGCUGGCCAAUGCAAUUCUCUUUGCACGGUACCACCUCCGUCUUGUCAAUGAUGGAAGGUGGUCCGAUUCCAUCGGGCAAUCUAACUUCAUAUCCUAUUAUGCAUUUGACCCCAAGGAAGACCUCGCGGGAAGAAUAUCCAGAUGGAUUGGGCUCCGCCGCUUGUGGUUCAAAGCUCACCGCAUCAAACAUGCCAAGCUUUCACCUGCCGUGAAGGAGUUUGUAUAUGCCUUGCUCAAAGGUGAGUGGAGACAUCUGGUCAGCAUUGAAGAUGUGGGCCCCCGGAGAGCGGCCUGGGCUCGCAAGUUCAGCGACAACGCCAAGAUCAAACAACUUGACUGGAGCCUGAGUUUUGAAUUUCAGGAGUGUGUGUAUAUUUGGCAUAUAGCCACAAGCACCUUCCUCAAUAACUCUGCCCUCGAACCGGAGUUGGUCAACAAGGACAUGGCUGUCAUGGCUGGAGCAGUCAACACUCUCUCUGAUUACAUGAUGUACCUCCUCGUCAAGCACCCAGACAUUCUGCCCACUGAGGAAGCCAGUCGACGCUGGUAUGACAGUGUCGGCCGUGUUUACGUGUACAUUCUGGGUAGAGGUGGUGAUGAGUGUGGGCCUCACGCGGUAAUGCUGAAAUGCGAUGCUAAGGAACGUGAUUGGGAUAGUAACGGGGACUGGGCUAUGAUGGAGAAAGCAGGCACACUUGCUCGGAUAAUGCUCGACAUGGAGUUGGGGCUCCCACAUAAGUUGGUAAUACUUGGAACAGUUUGGAUGGAGAUGUUGUGCCACACAGCAACCAACACAGCUGGCGAAUUCCACGCCAGGCAGCUCAGCAAUGGGGGCGAGUUUCUGACCCACAUCUUGCUCCUCGCUGGAUAUUGUUCUUAUAUGAAAGAGGCAACAAAGCCGCCCGAAGCAGAUGAUUGCAAGGAUGUGAUCAUCGAAAUCCCCUGA